GACGAACGCUGGCGGCGUGCUUAACACAUGCAAGUCGAACGGAAAGGCCCUGCUUUUGUGGGGUGCUCGAGUGGCGAACGGGUGAGUAACACGUGAGUAACCUGCCCUUGACUUUGGGAUAACUUCAGGAAACUGGGGCUAAUACCGGAUAGGAGCUCCUGCUGCAUGGUGGGGGUUGGAAAGUUUCGGCGGUUGGGGAUGGACUCGCGGCUUAUCAGCUUGUUGGUGGGGUAGUGGCUUACCAAGGCUUUGACGGGUAGCCGGCCUGAGAGGGUGACCGGCCACAUUGGGCCUGCGAUACGGCCCAGACUCCUACGGGGGGCAGCAGUGGGGAAUAUUGCACAAUGGGCGGAAGCCUGAUGAAGCAACGCCGCGUGCGGGAUGACGGCCUUCGGGUUGUAAACCGCUUUCGCCUGUGACGAAGCGUGAGUGACGGUAAUGGGUAAAGAAGCACCGGCUAACUACGUG
RNAcentral lists this ribosomal RNA (468 nucleotides) under uncultured bacterium. RNAcentral's name for it is "partial 16S ribosomal RNA". It matches the Rfam family "Bacterial small subunit ribosomal RNA", at positions 28 to 507 of the family's 1533-position model. The record is from RNAcentral.